GAUGAAGAACGUAGCGAAAUGCGAUAAGUAAUGUGAAUUGCAGAUUUCAGUGAAUCAUCGAAUCUUUGAACGCACAUUGCGCCCGCUGGUAUUCCGGCGGGCAUGCCUGUUCGAGCGUCAUUUCAACCCUCAAGCUCUCCGGAGUUUGGUGUUGGGGCGCCUGGGGCUUUUCGACCUCAGGGCCCUCAAGUCCAUCGGCGGGACCGCCAGGACACUGAGCGCAGUAGUAUUAUUUCGCUCGGUAGGAUCUUCCACGGCGGGUCGAUCUGGCCGCUAAACCCCCCAAUUCUCACCAAAGGUUGACCUCGGAUCAGGUAGGAAUACCCGCUGAACUUAAGCAUAUCAAUAAGCGGAGGA
This 357-nucleotide unclassified non-coding RNA is filed under the name soil metagenome. RNAcentral describes it as "partial contains 5.8S ribosomal RNA, internal transcribed spacer 2, and large subunit ribosomal RNA". The stretch from base 1 to 120 matches the Rfam family "5.8S ribosomal RNA", at positions 35 to 154 of the family's 154-position model. The record is from RNAcentral.